This 372-nucleotide ribosomal RNA is filed under the name Poecile songarus (Songar tit). Its description in RNAcentral is "partial 16S ribosomal RNA". It matches the Rfam family "Bacterial large subunit ribosomal RNA", at positions 2019 to 2555 of the family's 2925-position model. Lineage: Eukaryota; Metazoa; Chordata; Aves; Passeriformes; Paridae. The record is from RNAcentral.
UCUCUUACAGGCAAUCGGUAAAUUGUCUCCUGUGCAAAAGCAGGGAUAACCCCAUAAGACGAGAAGACCCUGUGGAACUUAAAAUCAGCAACCAACCCUAAGAACAUACACCCCACCCGGGCUCACUUACCUAACAGGGACACUGGUCUGCAUUUUUCGGUUGGGGCGACCUUGGAGCAAAACAAAACCUCCAAAAAUUGGACCACACAUCCAGACCGAGAGCAACCCCUCAACUGGCUAACAGCACCCAGACCCAAUAUAAUUGAUCAAUGGACCAAGCUACCCCAGGGAUAACAGCGCAAUCUCCUCCGAGAGUCCAUAUCGACGGGGAGGUUUACGACCUCGAUGUUGGAUCAGGACAUCCUAGUGGUG